RNAcentral lists this ribosomal RNA (492 nucleotides) under uncultured bacterium. RNAcentral's name for it is "partial 16S ribosomal RNA". It matches the Rfam family "Bacterial small subunit ribosomal RNA", at positions 30 to 507 of the family's 1533-position model. The record is from RNAcentral.
AGUGAACGCUGGCGGUAGGCCUAACACAUGCAAGUCGAACGGCAGCACAGUAAGAGCUUGCUCUUACGGGUGGCGAGUGGCGGACGGGUGAGGCAUACAUCGGCAUCUACUUUUUCGUGGGGGAUAACGUAGGGAAACUUACGCUAAUACCGCAUACGACCUACGGGUGAAAUCAGGGGAUCUUCGGACCUUGCGCGAUUGAAUGAGCCGAUGUCGGAUUAGCUAGUUGGCGGGGUAAAGGCCCACCAAGGCGACGAUCCGUAGCUGGUCUGAGGAGAGGGACAGCCACAAUGGAAAUUGGAAAAGGUCCAGACUCCUAAGGGAGGCAGGAGUGGGGAAUAUUGGAGAAUGGGGGGAAGGCUGAUCCAGGCAUAGCGCGUGGGUGAAGGAGGCCUUUGGGUUGGAAAGACCUUGUGUUGGGAAAGAAAAGCAGCAGGUUGUUACCGCGCUGAUCUGACGGGACCCAAAGCAUAAGGACACGCUAACUUCGUG